GAGCUUGCUUCGGCAGUACAUAUACUACAAUUAGAAUGAUACAGAGAAGAUUAGUGUGGCCGCCGGUGCAAGGAUGACACUUAAAUCCGUGAAUCCUUUCCAUGUGUUU
Molecule: small nuclear RNA, 109 nt
Organism: Loxodonta africana (African savanna elephant)
Lineage: Eukaryota; Metazoa; Chordata; Mammalia; Proboscidea; Elephantidae
Source: Ensembl